AUGCCUUACCAAUGAUGGAAUUUGUAUACAUGACUGAUAAAUAAUUUGUUGAUUAUAGUUAUAUAGUUUAGUUUUUGAUUAAUUUAAUUUCUGUUAGCUUGCGUGACUGUCAAUGGUUUUGCCCAUCACUAUAAAUGCCCCCUAGCUAUGGGCCAGAUGUGUCAGUAUGAGAUGGCAGUUGUGGUGUAAGGAUGCUGAAAGAGAUUGCCAUGCUUGAAAGUAUACCUGCUUUAAUCAUUGAAAGUCCUGUAGAAAGUGGACGAAAGCAUGUGAAGCUGAUUGAAUGUGACCGCUGAACUGCAUCAAGAGAAAUGCCAUCAGAUCCUACACUUUCCUGGGCAUUGUAUAAGAAACGGUUUACGUCACGGUGGCAUUUGGUGAGGUUAAACAUUUCGGCAUUUGUGAUUAGUAGAUCUGAAUUUCUGAGGAACCAUGCACCAAAAGGUGAAAUUGUUUUGUAGCGUGUAGGCAGUUCUAAAUUGAUUGUUGCUGUUAACUUGUUCAAGUGUCUUGCUGUUAUUACAAUUUUGUGGCUUAUACCUGUUGUACA
Molecule: long non-coding RNA, 550 nt
Organism: Sinocyclocheilus rhinocerous
Lineage: Eukaryota; Metazoa; Chordata; Actinopteri; Cypriniformes; Cyprinidae
Exons: 3
Source: RefSeq, a predicted model, not a curated record